This 599-nucleotide ribosomal RNA is filed under the name uncultured bacterium. RNAcentral's name for it is "bacterial SSU rRNA". It matches the Rfam family "Bacterial small subunit ribosomal RNA", at positions 338 to 951 of the family's 1533-position model. The record is from RNAcentral.
CCUACGGGAGGCAGCAGUGGGGAAUCUUGCGCAAUGGGCGAAAGCCUGACGCAGCAACGCCGCGUGCGGGAAGAAGGCCUUCGGGUUGUAAACCGCUUUCAGCAGGAACGAAAAUGACGGUACCUGCAGAAGAAGGAGCGGCCAACUACGUGCCAGCAGCCGCGGUGACACGUAGGCUCCAAGCGUUGUCCGGAUUUAUUGGGCGUAAAGAGCUCGUAGGCGGUUCAGUAAGUCGGGUGUGAAAACUCUGGGCUCAACCCAGAGCCUGCAUUCGAAACUGCUGUGACUAGAGUUUGGUAGGGGAGCGGGGAAUUCCUAGUGUAGCGGUGAAAUGCGCAGAUAUUAGGAGGAACACCGGUGGCGAAAGCGCCGCUCUGGGCCAAUACUGACGCUGAGGAGCGAAAGCGUGGGUAGCAAACAGGAUUAGAUACCCUGGUAGUCCACGCCGUAAACGAUGGGCACUAGGUGUGGGUUUCAACUAACGAAAUCCGUGCCGUCGCUAACGCAUUAAGUGCCCCGCCUGGGGAGGUACGGUCGCGAGACGUAAACUUAAAUAGAGUAGACGGCGUGAGAGUUGCGAGACGACACGAGGGAGGAGG